Molecule: long non-coding RNA, 396 nt
Filed under: Ornithorhynchus anatinus (platypus)
Lineage: Eukaryota; Metazoa; Chordata; Mammalia; Monotremata; Ornithorhynchidae
Description: lncRNA (ENSOANG00000035216.2)
Source: RNAcentral
CUACCAAGAUCUGUUUUGUAUUUGAAUUGUGUCUCCUUAUCACUUUCCAUUUGACAGAAAUCAGCAGAGCACGGGGCCGGUGAGGGUACAGUGGAGACCCAAGUGGAACACAGACCACUGGAAGAAGACCAGCUAACUGCAGGACCAAAAAAAAAUCUGCUUGGCGCCACAAAAUGCAAGAGAACUCUUUCCCCUUUCUGACUACAAAGCUCGCUACUUAAUUGUACAAAUAUUUGUGGGUUUGGCGAAGGGAAAUCUCACUUGGUAUCAACUUUCUCACAGCAGGAAAAGAACUCACACUGACGGAUCCUGGAACAGGCUGGUGAGGUGACACAGGUUCCUGUAUGAAUUUAUCUCCAUGUGCUCUAGGGAUGAGCAAAUGGUUAUAAUAUGCCU